Molecule: ribosomal RNA, 497 nt
Filed under: uncultured bacterium
Lineage: Bacteria
Description: partial 16S ribosomal RNA
Rfam family: Bacterial small subunit ribosomal RNA
Source: RNAcentral
GAUGAACGCUGGCGGCGUGCCUAAUACAUGCAAGUCGAGCGAACGGACGAGAAGCUUGCUUCUCUGAUGUUAGCGGCGGACGGGUGAGUAACACGUGGAUAACCUACCUAUAAGACUGGGAUAACUUCGGGAAACCGGAGCUAAUACCGGAUAAUAUUUUGAACCGCAUGGUUCAAAAGUGAAAGACGGUCUUGCUGUCACUAAUAGAUGGAUCCGCGCUGCAUUAGCUAGUUGGUAAGGUAACGGCUUACCAAGGCAACGAGGCAUAGCCGACCUGAGAGGGUGAUCGGCCACACUGGAACUGAGACACGGUCCAGACUCCUACGGGAGGCAGCAGUAGGGAAUCUUCCGCAAUGGGCGAAAGCCUGACGGAGCAACGCCGCGUGAGUGAUGAAGGUCUUCGGAUCGUAAAACUCUGUUAUUAGGGAAGAACAGAUGUGUAAGUAACUGUGCACAUCUUGACGGUACCUAAUCAGAAAGCCACGGCUAACUACGUG